CAAAGAGUAGUUUAAGUUAAAAUCUUCGCUUUGGGGGCGAGGGAUGAGAUGUUUGUCUUCUCUUUGA
Molecule: transfer RNA, 67 nt
Filed under: Bipes biporus
Lineage: Eukaryota; Metazoa; Chordata; Lepidosauria; Squamata; Bipedidae
Description: tRNA-Pro
Source: RNAcentral